Molecule: ribosomal RNA, 82 nt
Filed under: Porphyromonas cangingivalis
Lineage: Bacteria; Pseudomonadati; Bacteroidota; Bacteroidia; Bacteroidales; Porphyromonadaceae
Description: partial 16S ribosomal RNA
Rfam family: Bacterial small subunit ribosomal RNA (bases 1-70)
Source: RNAcentral
AAGACCGGUAACUGGGGCUAAGUCGUAACAAGGUAGCCGUACCGGAAGGUGCGGCUGGAACACCUCCUUUCUGGAGACUCUG